AAAGAAACUAACAAGGAUUCCCCUAGUAACGGCGAGUGAAGCGGGAUGAGCUCAAAUUUGAAAGCUGGCAGCAAUGUCCGCGUUGUAAUCUCGAGAAAUGUUUUCCGUGCUGGACCAUGUAUAAGUUCCUUGGAAUAGGAUGUCAUAGAGGGUGAAAGUCCCGUACUUGACAUGGACGCCCAGUGCUUUGUGAUACAUUUUCGAAGAGUCGAGUUGUUUGGGAAUGCAGCUCAAAAUGGGUGGUAAAUUCCAUCUAAAGCUAAAUAUUGGGGAGAGACCGAUAGCGAACAAGUACCGUGAGGGAAAGAUGAAAAGCACUUUGGAAAGAGAGUUAAACAGUACGUGAAAUUGUCAAAAGGGAAGCAUUUGAAGUCAGACGUGUGUAGUGGUAUUCAGCCUUGCUUUUGCUUGGUGUAUUUGCCGCUGUACAGGCCAACAUCAGUUUCGAGUGACGGAUAAGGGUAUGGAGAAUGUAGCAGCUUCGGCUGUGUUUAUAGCUCUAUACUGGAUACGUUGUUUGGGACUGAGGAACGCAGCGCGCCGUAAGGCAGACCUUCGGGUACUUUCGCGCUUAGGAUGUUGGCGUAAUGGCUUUAAGUGACCCGUCUUGAAACACGGACCAAGGAGUCUAACAUGUCUGCGAGUCUUUGGGUGGCAAACCCGUGGGCGCAAUGAAAGUGAAUGCAGGUGGGAUCCGCAAGGAGCACCAUCGACCGAUCCAGAUCUUCUGUGACGGAUUUGAGUAAGAGCAUAUAUGUUGGGACCCGAAAGAUGGUGAACUAUGCCUGAAUAGGGUGGAAGCCAGAGGAAACUCUGGUGGAGGCUCGUAGCGGUUCUGACGUGCAAAUCGAUCGUCAAAUUUGGGUAUAGGGGCGAAGACUAAUCGAACCAUUAUAGACUACUAGGUGGUUGAGAGGUGGCGAAGAGUGCCAUCUAGUUGGGGCAUUUCAAUAUGCUCUGGCGACAUUGUCAAAGUGCGGGAACCUUCUAAAGACUUUUGCUACCAAGCGUCGUGUAGAAAUACAGGCGUGGCCGGGGUAAUGACCUAGGGUAUGGUAAAAACGCAAAGUAUGAGUCGAUUUCGGAUCGAUGAAAUGAACAAUCCGCAGCCAAGUUCUACGGGGGACAAAUCGUCCUCUACGAAUGCAGUUCAGAGACUCUAUGGCAGUGGGUGUAUCGUGUACUCGAUACGCUUAAGAUAAAGUCCAUUCCCUUGCGAAAGCUUGUUGGAGGAAGAGGUGACGUUUGUGUCGCCAGAGCCUUCAAGAUUAUCAUCGAAUGAUAAAUCGGAUUCACAGCUAGUAGCUGGUUCCUGCCGAAGUUUCCCCUCAGGA
This 1334-nucleotide ribosomal RNA is filed under the name Muribasidiospora indica. RNAcentral describes it as "LSU rRNA". It matches the Rfam family "Eukaryotic large subunit ribosomal RNA", at positions 58 to 978 of the family's 3401-position model. The record is from RNAcentral. Lineage: Eukaryota; Fungi; Basidiomycota; Exobasidiomycetes; Exobasidiales; Exobasidiaceae.